Etheostoma spectabile (orangethroat darter) is the source of this 114-nucleotide long non-coding RNA. RefSeq lists it as uncharacterized. The record is from RefSeq and is a predicted model, not a curated record. NCBI's taxonomy places the organism in Eukaryota, Metazoa, Chordata, Actinopteri, Perciformes, Percidae. The transcript has 3 exons.
CGACAAAAUCACGCAAACCAAUUAAUCAAUUAUCAAAAUAGUUUAAGCGAUUAAUUUAAAUGUUGACAGCUAAUGGAUUUAUCUUUGCAGCUUUAUUAUCAUAUGGUCAGAACG